UGGGGAAUAUUGCGCAAUGGGGGAAACCCUGACGCAGCAACGCCGCGUGAAGGAUGAAGGUUUUCGGAUUGUAAACUUCUUUGAUUGGGGACGAAUAAUGACGGUACCCAAAAAACAAGCCACGGCUAACUACGUGCCAGCAGCCGCGGUAAUACGUAGGUGGCGAGCGUUGUCCGGAAUUACUGGGUGUAAAGGGCGUGUAGGCGGGGAAACAAGUCAGAUGUGAAAUUCCGGGGCUCAACCCCGGCACUGCAUCUGAAACUGUAUCUCUUGAGUGCUGGAGAGGAAAGCGGAAUUCCUAGUGUAGCGGUGAAAUGCGUAGAUAUUAGGAGGAACACCAGUGGCGAAGGCGGCUUUCUGGACAGUAACUGACGCUGAGGCGCGAAAGCGUGGGGAGCAAACAG
This 404-nucleotide ribosomal RNA is filed under the name uncultured bacterium. Its description in RNAcentral is "bacterial SSU rRNA". It matches the Rfam family "Bacterial small subunit ribosomal RNA", at positions 355 to 775 of the family's 1533-position model. The record is from RNAcentral.